AGCCGGGGUAAGCUUGGUGCUACCUCUUUUCUUUUGUUUGUUAUUUUCUUUGAAUAAGAGGCUUGAGAGUUUCUGAAUAUUGUGAAGUGAAUUAUGGAAUGGAAAUGUGAUUGGUAUUAUUUGAGAAGAAGAAAGAUUGAAUGCUGAAAUCUGAUUGUAGUUCAGUAGAGAUAAUGAGUUUGUGUUUGUGUGAAACACUGUAAUGUGAAUGGCAGUUCUGUAUGAAGAAUUUGAGUGAUUGGAACGAGGGUAAUUGUGUGAUGAAAGCUGUAAGGGGGCAGUAUUACAGUUGGAGAUUAUGAGGGUGAAUAUAUUGGUAGAAAU
RNAcentral lists this long non-coding RNA (324 nucleotides) under Physcomitrium patens. RNAcentral's name for it is "long non-coding RNA (PPAT_LNC007926)". The record is from RNAcentral. Lineage: Eukaryota; Viridiplantae; Streptophyta; Bryopsida; Funariales; Funariaceae.